GAUGAAGAACGCAGCGAAAUGCGAUAAGUAGUGUGAAUUGCAGAAUUCAGUGAAUCAUCGAAUCUUUGAACGCACAUUGCGCCUUUUGGUAAUCCUUAGGGCAUGCCUGUUCGAGCGUCAUUUAAACCUUCAAGCUCAGCUUGGUGAUGGGUGACUGUCCUCCCCUCGCGGGGGGACUCGCCUCAAAAACAUUGGCGGCCGGUACAUUGGCUUCGAGCGCAGCAGAAACGCGGUCUCGAGUCCGGUGGAUCGGCUCCCAUAAGUCUAUUCUUUUAUUUUGACCUCGGAUCAGGUAGGGAUACCCGCUGAACUUAAGCAUAUCAAUAAGCGGAGGA
This 335-nucleotide unclassified non-coding RNA is filed under the name soil metagenome. Its description in RNAcentral is "partial contains 5.8S ribosomal RNA, internal transcribed spacer 2, and large subunit ribosomal RNA". The stretch from base 1 to 120 matches the Rfam family "5.8S ribosomal RNA", at positions 35 to 154 of the family's 154-position model. The record is from RNAcentral.